This 301-nucleotide ribosomal RNA is filed under the name uncultured bacterium. RNAcentral's name for it is "partial 16S ribosomal RNA". It matches the Rfam family "Bacterial small subunit ribosomal RNA", at positions 509 to 807 of the family's 1533-position model. The record is from RNAcentral.
CAGUAGCCGCGGUAAUACAGAGGGUGCAAGCGUUAAUCGGAAUUACUGGGCAUAAAGCGCGCGUAGGUGGUUUGUUAAGUUGGAUGUGAAAUCCCCGGGCUCAACCUGGGAACUGCAUCCAAAACUGGCAGGCUAGAGUAGGGCAGAGGGUGGUGGAAUUUCCUGUGUAGCGGUGAAAUGCGUAGAUAUAGGAAGGAACACCAGUGGCGAAGGCGACCACCUGGGCUCAUACUGACACUGAGGUGCGAAGGCGUGGGGAGCAAACAGGAUUAGAUACCCCCGUAGUCCCUGUCUCUUAUAC